UGGGGGAUAUUGCACAAUGGGCGAAAGCCUGAUGCAGCGACGCCGCGUGGGGGAUGAAGGCCUUCGGGUUGUAAACUUCUUUUCCUCUGAACAAGGCAUGCUAAUGGGUGUGUUGAGUGUAGGGGUUGAUUAGCGCCGGCUAACUACGUGCCAGCAGCCGCGGUAAUACGUAGGGCGCGAGCGUUGUCCGGAAUUAUUGGGCGUAAAGGGCUUGUAGGUGGCUGGUUGCGUCUGUCGUGAAAGCUCAUGGCUUAACUGUGGGUUUGCGGUGGGUACGGGCUGGCUUGAGUGCAGUAGGGGAGGCUGGAAUUCCUGGUGUAGCGGUGGAAUGCACAGAUAUCAGGAGGAAUACCGGUGGCGAAGGCGGGUCUCUGGGCUGUUACUGACACUGAGGAGCGAAAGCAUGGGGAGCGAACAGG
This 419-nucleotide ribosomal RNA is filed under the name bacterium. RNAcentral's name for it is "partial 16S ribosomal RNA". It matches the Rfam family "Bacterial small subunit ribosomal RNA", at positions 355 to 776 of the family's 1533-position model. The record is from RNAcentral.